GGACUAACUAUAAUAGUGAGCAAAACAGACCUCCACCGCUAACAACGACGGGCAACACAGCCGGAAUCACGCUAUUUUGCACAGCAGCACCAUUUUUGACAGCUGCGGCAGCACCAUUCAAAGUUAUACAUAAUCUUCACAAACAUAAUGCUACUAAAUCAUUAGACUAAAAGUAAUUACAAAGUUAUGCUAAUCUGGGACUAACUAUAAUAGUGAGCAACACAGAUCUCCACCGCCAACAACUACGGGCAACACUGCCGGAAUCACGCCAUUUUGCACAGCAGCACCAUUUUCGACAGCUGCGACAGCACCAUUCAAAGUUAUACAUAAUCUUCACAAACANNNNNNNNNNNNNNNNNNNNUAAAAGUAAUUACAAAGUUAUACUAAUCUGGGACUAACUAUAAUAGUGAGCAAAACAGACCUCCACCGCCAACAACGACGGGCAACACAGCCGGAAUCACGCCAUUUUGCACAGCAGCACAUUUUUCGACAGCUGCAGCAGCACCAUCCAAAAUCAUUUUUAACAAUACCAUUUAUUGUUGGGUCUUUGGGUAUUAAACAAUCAAAAUAAAGGGGUCUUUGGGUAUUAAACAAUCAAAAUAAAAUAAUGAGAAUUUUUUUCGGUUAGGUUGAGGGAAAAUGAAAUCCGGAAGAAAGAAGAAAGCAAGAACUUGGAUAAUAUAAGAAUGAGGAUUAUGAGAACUUUGGGAGAGGAAGAGAAACGGCGGCGGACUAGGAACUGUUGUUGUAUAGAGAUAGUUUAAAUAAAUAGUUACUUUACUCUUUUAAUAUGAUCUCUUAGAUUGUUUGUUGCCACAUGUUAUCCAUCCAAUGGUUGGACUGGACUAAAUGGAGGUAGGCUUAAAUAGAGCAUAGUAGUACAUGAACUAACUCCAUCAAUAAAGGUGUUGGGUCGGAACAAUGGAAGGGUAAAUAUGGAACAAAGUAAAAAAAAUUACUCUCAGAUGUCAUUUUAUUCUAACUUCCUAUAUGCCAACAAAAUUUAACCAGCAGUACAGAAGAAACGGAUAAUGGUAAAUAUUUUUAUCCUAUAGUAAGUAUCUCUCUCAUAAGCGUAAUUUUAUUUUUAAAAUGACAAAAGUAGUCAUCAAUAAAGGUGUUGGGCCCACAUAAUUUUAGAGGAACAAUGCAUCCUAUUCCUAUCUCUCGUUCCAAAAUCACUCGGUCGGUGCCUCAAUGUGAGUGACUUCAAGUCACACAUAAAAAUCUCUUGCGAUUGGGCCCAAAAUUGGGCUUAGAAAAUAAAUCUGCUAUUUACACCAUAUAUAUGACAUAAAAACCUACCUACCAUGAGAAGAAGAAAAAGGCCCGCUAAAUAAAACUGGGCCGCCACGAAAAAUAUGUACCAUAAAAAAAUAGUUAUGGAUGGAUCUAAACAAAAAAUUCUGAAACUUAUUUGUAAAAUCAUAGAUUUACCUGAAAAUUCUUCUCUCUCAUAGAAUUUAGUUACCUCGAAGAAAUUCUUCUUAUUCCCCGGAGAAAGCUCUUUCUUAUCAAGAUUGAUGAGAUUCAAUCACAGAAACAGCAUCUUGCCAUCUGAUUCUUUACCCAAGUUUGGG
This 1581-nucleotide long non-coding RNA is filed under the name Trifolium pratense (red clover). RNAcentral describes it as "long non-coding RNA (TPRA_LNC013788)". Lineage: Eukaryota; Viridiplantae; Streptophyta; Magnoliopsida; Fabales; Fabaceae. The record is from RNAcentral.